AGAGUAGGCGCAGGCAGUUGCGGCUAGUAGUCAAGAGCCUCGUGCUUAGGACUGCAAUCCGAGGAAAGUCCGGGCUUCUCAAAGACCAAACUUGCUGGGUAACGCCCAGUGCGGGUGACCGUGAGGAUAGUGCCACAGAAAGAUACCGCCGGUCAGAAGUUUUGAAUUACGAGUUACGAGUUUUGAGUUACGAACUUAAAACUCAAAACUUAAAACUCAAAACUUCUUCGGUAAGGGUGCAAAGGUGCGGUAAGAGCGCACCAGCAGCAUCGAGAGGUGCUGGCUCGGUAAACCCCGGUUGGAAGCAAGGCUGCGGAACAACGGUUGGUCUUUUACCAGUUCCAUGCAAAGGUGAGGUUGCCUCAUCUCUGCCCGUCCGCUUGAGGCGCUUGGUAACAAGUGACCCAGAUAGAUAACUGCCGUCUUAGAUGCAUGGCAUUUAGGACAACAGAACCCGGCUUAUGUCCUGCUCUCCUC
RNAcentral lists this RNase P RNA (477 nucleotides) under Stenomitos frigidus ULC18. RNAcentral's name for it is "Bacterial RNase P class A". It matches the Rfam family "Bacterial RNase P class A". From Rfam's summary of the family: Ribonuclease P (RNase P) is a ubiquitous endoribonuclease, found in archaea, bacteria and eukarya as well as chloroplasts and mitochondria. Its best characterised activity is the generation of mature 5'-ends of tRNAs by cleaving the 5'-leader elements of precursor-tRNAs. The record is from Rfam by way of RNAcentral. Lineage: Bacteria; Bacillati; Cyanobacteriota; Cyanophyceae; Leptolyngbyales; Leptolyngbyaceae.